Molecule: ribosomal RNA, 497 nt
Filed under: uncultured bacterium
Lineage: Bacteria
Description: partial 16S ribosomal RNA
Rfam family: Bacterial small subunit ribosomal RNA
Source: RNAcentral
GAUGAACGCUGGCGGCGUGCCUAAUACAUGCCAGUCGAGCGAACGGACGAGAAGCUUGCUUCUCUGAUGUUAGCGGCGGACGGGUGAGUAACACGUGGAUAACCUACCUAUAAGACUGGGAUAACUUCGGGAAACCGGAGCUAAUACCGGAUAAUAUUUUGAACCGCAUGGUUCAAAAGUGAAAGACGGUCUUGCUGUCACUUAUAGAUGGAUCCGCGCUGCAUUAGCUAGUUGGUAAGGUAACGGCUUACCAAGGCAUCGAUGCAUAGCCGACCUGAGAGGGUGAUCGGCCACACUGGAACUGAGACACGGUCCAGACUCCUACGGGAGGCAGCAGUAGGGAAUCUUCCGCAAUGGGCGAAAGCCUGACGGAGCAACGCCGCGUGAGUGAUGAAGGUCUUCGGAUCGUAAAACUCUGUUAUUAGGGAAGAACAUAUGUGUAAGUAACUGUGCACAUCUUGACGGUACCUAAUCAGAAAGCCACGGCUAACUACGUG